Long non-coding RNA from Cryptotermes secundus, 274 nucleotides. RefSeq lists it as uncharacterized. The transcript is spliced from 3 exons. The record is from RefSeq and is a predicted model, not a curated record. NCBI's taxonomy places the organism in Eukaryota, Metazoa, Arthropoda, Insecta, Blattodea, Kalotermitidae.
CUAUGAAACUGUUUUCUAGGUUAUUUGUACUAGACUUGAAACUCACAAUAAAGCCGUAAUGCAGGUUUUCCAUGCAUAACUACAAUCUGUAUAUGCGGAGCAGAACUUGUGCAGGAUCCACGACGUUACUGCCUGUUCGUCAGUAACUUGAGCGUCAUUCGACUGUGCUACGGAAUACUGUUGUGUAAUGGAACGAGUUCUGUGCAACAAGGAGGAAUGUCCAUUGAAACCUAGUUGUAUUAAAGAACAUUCCUGGCUCCGAAUACGUCAGCAU